Molecule: ribosomal RNA, 1660 nt
Filed under: Triticum aestivum (bread wheat)
Lineage: Eukaryota; Viridiplantae; Streptophyta; Magnoliopsida; Poales; Poaceae
Description: partial small subunit ribosomal RNA
Source: RNAcentral
UGGGUACUUGACACUACGGCACUGGCGCAGAGGAGGGCGUCAGGUGGAAGGGGAGAGGGAGAAGGAAGGAGAGGGCGGCGGCCGCUUUGGAACUAGCGCUCCCCAUAUGCGCCCCUCUCUUUCUACCCCUUGCACAAGCACUUCUUCGGAUUCUAGUGCCUCCAGCUGUUCCGGUAGGAGCGGGAGUUCUGCGUCGCGGCGUUCGAGCGCGUCAAGGUCGUCGUCGAACUCUUCCACUAGCUUCGUCUUUUCCUUCGACGUGCGGUCAACCAAGUUGUUUUCUUCUCUCUGUCUCGAAACUAACGUGACUUCUUCUUCUUUAGGGUCCUUCUCGAGGACUUUGUUCAACUAUGUACCGUUUACUUACAGCUUGUCGUCGACCGUCUAUAACUUGAUCGUUCGUUCGUUUUUCGACAUAACCUUUCGGAUUUCUGACCUUUACGACGGGAAUUCAGAUAUGUCUUACUCUAAUUGUAGCUGCUACAGGUUUUCAAUUACCUACUGUGUCGACUCCGGUUCCGAAUAGUCCUACUUUAUUUACGGCGAGACCCACUUGUUGAUAGACGACUCCUACUCCUCCGACAGUACCGACUUAAGCUGUUGAACCUUCGACUCGAACGUGAACUAAGAGACGGACUACGAGGGUAAUGACUACAUGUUGGACUUUUCUUUUGAUUCCGUGGCCGAAUGUGACUUCGAGGUCGACUUCUGUAACUACUACAAUAACUCGAAGGACUACAUGGAUGAUUUCGCGGACUCUCCGGACUUCGAGGUCUUUUUUGUUUUCAGAACCUUCUCGGUGAUGGACGUAUCAACCACCUCGACUCGACUUGUCCCGUGAGGUUCAGGACGCCAAACGUCCUCGACAUUUUAUAGACGGUAAACUAACAUGACGAAUUAAAACAGUAAAGUAUUCAAAGUAACACAUGUCUUAGACUUUACAACCAGAGUCAAUAGCUAACUACGUCACUGCUGGACACGGACAACAUGUAAAUCAUCAGAUUCGUAGCUAAUACCAUAGUCUACAGACAAAGAACUAACAGCAAACAUCUAACUAUCUAGGUCGAUGUUAAUUUAACACAAUUGACCGUAAGACAAAGUAACCAACCUAGAAAUGCUGCUGAACCGAUGAAACGUGAGUCCAUACAUUUGUCAAGGUAAAGUACAAGUAGUAAAGACUAAACGAUGGACGAGAAGGUCUAAAGACGGCGAUUUGUAUCGUUCAAACCACGUCUGUAAAUACAUCAACGACCCAACUCAUACAACGGCGACGACCGGUUCAGAGACAACAUCGACGACGACGACCACUAGAACGACAAUUUUACCAGACAACUCUAACUACGACUUUUUGCCAACGUAAGGAUAAAAUUGGUAAAAUUGUUGUACAGUUAUUGUUCAUGACACAAGGAGCUUUACCGUUUAACCUUCUUUUCUUACUACAAUACGGUCUCAAUAUAUUCCUUACGAGUUCAUGGAACAAUACUUGUUGACUAAUAAAAAUCUUACCUACACCGUGACUGUCCAAAAGUCGUACGAUAAAAUUGGUAAAAUUGUCGUACAGUUAUGUUCAAUAUCUUUUGUUGUAACUGUUAAUGUAAAAUACUGUCUAGCUAGAUGCUUAAAGUUGAAGAAUACUAGUUUUGUUGGAAAAACAUCUAAU